UACGUGGGGAGCAAGCGUUGUUCGGAUUUACUGGGCGUAAAGGGCGCGUAGGCGGUCGUGACAAGUCACUUGUGAAAUCUCCGGGCUUAACUCGGAAAGGUCAACUGAUACUGUGCGACUAGAGUGCAGAAGGGGCAACUGGAAUUCUCGGUGUAGCGGUGAAAUGCGUAGAUAUCGAGAGGAACACCUGCGGCGAAGGCGGGUUGCUGGGCUGACACUGACGCUGAGGCGCGAAAGCCAGGGGAGCGAACGGG
RNAcentral lists this ribosomal RNA (254 nucleotides) under uncultured bacterium. Its description in RNAcentral is "partial 16S ribosomal RNA". It matches the Rfam family "Bacterial small subunit ribosomal RNA", at positions 524 to 776 of the family's 1533-position model. The record is from RNAcentral.